This 442-nucleotide ribosomal RNA is filed under the name uncultured Bacteroidota bacterium. Its description in RNAcentral is "bacterial SSU rRNA". It matches the Rfam family "Bacterial small subunit ribosomal RNA", at positions 917 to 1359 of the family's 1533-position model. Lineage: Bacteria; Pseudomonadati; Bacteroidota. The record is from RNAcentral.
GGGCCCGCACAAGCGGAGGAACAUGUGGUUUAAUUCGAUGGUACGCGAGGAACCUUACCUGGGCUAGAACGCAGCGGGACAGCGGGGGAGACCCCGCUUCCAGCGAUGGUCGGCUGCGAGGUGCUGCAUGGUUGUCGUCAGCUCGUGCCGUGAGGUGUCGGGUUAAGUCCCAUAACGAGCGCAACCCCUACCGCCAGUUGCCAGCGGGUAAAGCCGGGAACUCUGGCGGGACUGCCGGCGUAAGCCGCGAGGAGGGUGGGGAUGACGUCAAAUCAGCACGGCCCUUACGUCCAGGGCUACACACGUGUUACAAUGGCCGGUACAACGGGAUGCCACUCGGCAACGGGGCGCGGAUCCCGAAAACCGGUCCCAGUUCGGAUUGGGGUCUGUAACCCGACCCCAUGAAGCUGGAUUCGCUAGUAAUCGCGCAUCAGCCACGGCG